GACGAACGCUGGCGGCGUGCUUAACACAUGCCAGUCGAACGGAAAGGCCCUGCUUUUGUGGGGUGCUCGAGUGGCGAACGGGUGAGUAACACGUGAGUAACCUGCCCUUGACUUUGGGAUAACUUCAGGAAACUGGGGCUAAUACCGGAUAGGAGCUCCUGCUGCAUGGUGGGGGUUGGAAAGUUUCGGCGGUUGGGGAUGGACUCGCGGCUUAUCAGCUUGUUGGUGGGGUAGUGGCUUACCAAGGCUUUGACGGGUAGCCGGCCUGAGAGGGUGACCGGCCACAUUGGGACUGAGAUACGGCCCAGACUCCUACGGGAGGCAGCAGUGGGGAAUAUUGCACAAGGGGCGGAAGCCUGAUGCAGCAACGCCGCGUGCGGGAGGACGGCCUUCGGGUUGUAAACCGCUUUCGCCUGUGACGAAGCGUGAGUGACGGUAAUGGGUAAAGAAGCACCGGCUAACUACGUGC
RNAcentral lists this ribosomal RNA (469 nucleotides) under uncultured bacterium. RNAcentral's name for it is "partial 16S ribosomal RNA". It matches the Rfam family "Bacterial small subunit ribosomal RNA", at positions 28 to 508 of the family's 1533-position model. The record is from RNAcentral.